AACGAACGCUGGCGGCAUGCCUAAUACAUGCAAGUCGAACGAACACUUCGGUGUUAGUGGCGCACGGGUGCGUAACGCGUGGGAAUCUACCCUUGGGUUCGGAAUAACGUCUGGAAACGGACGCUAAUACCGGAUGAUGACGUAAGUCCAAAGAUUUAUCGCCCAGGGAUGAGCCCGCGUAGGAUUAGCUAGUUGGUGAGGUAAAGGCUCACCAAGGCUACGAUCCUUAGCUGGUCUGAGAGGAUGAUCAGCCACACUGGGACUGAGACACGGCCCAGACUCCUACGGGAGGCAGCAGUAGGGAAUAUUGGACAAUGGGCGAAAGCCUGAUCCAGCAAUGCCGCGUGAGCGAUGAAGGCCUUAGGGUUGUAAAGCUCUUUUACCCGGGAUGAUAAUGACAGUACCGGGAGAAUAAGCCCCGGCUAACUCCGUGCCAGCCGCCGCGGUAA
RNAcentral lists this ribosomal RNA (449 nucleotides) under uncultured bacterium. RNAcentral's name for it is "partial 16S ribosomal RNA". It matches the Rfam family "Bacterial small subunit ribosomal RNA", at positions 29 to 523 of the family's 1533-position model. The record is from RNAcentral.